This is a long non-coding RNA of Argentina anserina (silverweed cinquefoil), 823 nucleotides long. RefSeq lists it as uncharacterized. The record is from RefSeq and is a predicted model, not a curated record. The transcript has 3 exons. NCBI's taxonomy places the organism in Eukaryota, Viridiplantae, Streptophyta, Magnoliopsida, Rosales, Rosaceae.
GACCUCAUAAACAAGAGCAAUGAUGACAACUGGCAGUAUGAACCUGUAUUUCAUGGUGUUCCGGGUAAGGGAGAAGACAUGAUAUGGCUAACCCAUUGGGAUAUGGAGAACCAAGUAAAAGGAGGGCAUCAAGUUGCUGUUUCUCUCUCGGUAAAACAUGCCAGGUUUCGGUAUCAUGUAAAGUAGUGGGGGAUCGAGGUUGUUCAGAAGAAGCAUGAAUGUACGGAGCACAACACCACUGGUGGAGAUUCGUUAACAUCAGAUGAGCCAUUGAGGGAACCACACUUGCUCUCUUAUGAACCUGACUCAACGGAAGAUAAAGGUGAUGCUGUUCCUGCAGCAGCAAUGAGGGCUAGCACCAGCAGCAACAACGAUCAGGGUCUCAGAAAGUAGAAGGUGCUCAUCGUUGCCGCUAUUGUCCUCACUGCUGCGAUCAGUGUUGCUAAUCGUUUUGAGGACUCUAAUUUCGACACAAAUGUAGCCAAGACUGUUACCAAUGCAGACAAUGUAGAAGAACACGGGAAUGAAGAUGACAAGUUUGCAGUUGCUACUGAUGGCGGUAACAAUCAUGCGCGGGGUCCUAGAAAGUGGAAGGUGCCCAUCAUCGCUGCUAUCCUGUUAAUUAUGUACCUAUCUGUUCGCUGGGUCUUCUUUUUCUCCACGAGAGAGACAUACAUGGAGUCCAUCUUGGUUCCUACAUAAAAAUUCACUAUUGUAUUCUUGUUUCCUUCUGUCUAACCUGAAAUAUGUACAUUAAAUAGCCCGACUAAACUUCUCGUUGUAGAAUAAACUCUUUUCUUUGUUUUUUGAAACUUACCCAAGA